RNAcentral lists this ribosomal RNA (395 nucleotides) under uncultured bacterium. RNAcentral describes it as "bacterial SSU rRNA". It matches the Rfam family "Bacterial small subunit ribosomal RNA", at positions 505 to 898 of the family's 1533-position model. The record is from RNAcentral.
GUGUCAGCCGCCGCGGUAAUACAUAGGGUGCAAGCGUUGUCCGGAUUUAUUGGGCGUAAAGAGUUCGUAGGCGGUUUAUCGCGUCGGGUGUGAAAACUCAGGGCUUAACCCUGAGCCUGCACUCGAUACGGGUUUACUUGAGGACGGCAGGGGAGACUGGAACUCCUGGUGUAGCGGUGGAAUGCGCAGAUAUCAGGAAGAACACCAAUGGCGAAGGCAGGUCUCUGGGCCGAUUCUGACGCUGAGGAACGAAAGCGUGGGGAGCAAACAGGAUUAGAUACCCUGGUAGUCCACGCCGUAAACGGUGGAUGCUAGGUGUGGGAAACAUUAACGUUUUCUGCGCCGCAGCUAACGCAUUAAGCAUCCCGCCUGGGGAGUACGGCCGCAAGGCUAAA